Molecule: RNase P RNA, 412 nt
Filed under: Planctomycetota bacterium
Lineage: Bacteria; Pseudomonadati; Planctomycetota
Description: RNase P RNA component class A
Rfam family: Bacterial RNase P class A
About the family: Ribonuclease P (RNase P) is a ubiquitous endoribonuclease, found in archaea, bacteria and eukarya as well as chloroplasts and mitochondria. Its best characterised activity is the generation of mature 5'-ends of tRNAs by cleaving the 5'-leader elements of precursor-tRNAs.
Source: RNAcentral
GAAGUGGAUCGGAUGGUCGCUGGUUCUGGCCUUAGGGCCAGAGCGAGAGGAAAGUCCGGGCUCCGCAGGACAGGGUGGUCGAUAACGACGACCGGCCGUGAGGCUAGGGAUAGUGCCACAGAAAACAUACCGCCGAUGGCUGCCGGAACAAAUGUGUUCCUGUAGCUCAGGUAAGGGUGAAAUGGUGCGGUAAGAGCGCACCAGCAGUCGAGGCGACUCGAUUGGUUUGGUAAACCCCACCCGGAGCAAGACCAAACAGGGAGCAGGCGGUGCAAACCGCCGCGAGCCGGUCCGGCUCGCCAUCGACUCCCGGGUAGGUCGCUGGAGGCGCCGUGCAAACGGGUGUCCUAGAGAAAUGACCAUCACCUCGCGCUGCGAGGUACAGAACCCGGCUUACAGAUCCACUUCGAGA